Long non-coding RNA from Corticium candelabrum, 589 nucleotides. RefSeq lists it as uncharacterized. Lineage: Eukaryota; Metazoa; Porifera; Homoscleromorpha; Homosclerophorida; Plakinidae. The transcript is spliced from 3 exons. The record is from RefSeq and is a predicted model, not a curated record.
UAGUUCUCGACGUAUGAGAUUGAACACAGCGCCAUGACGGACGACGGUUUUGCACAAAGACGGCUCUUCUAAUUCGGAAAAUCGAUCACUUGAGGAUCUAAGAGCUGGUAGGAAGAAGAGUCCACAAGCAGGCAAAGGAGAUUCUAGUCGUAAUGUAAUCUAACUUUUCACAGUAAAGACUUGGGCUACAGAACAGGAUCAAGUCUGAAAUAGCAUCAGCAACAAUUUUUAAUUGCUAUUAGUGAAGUACUCUCUACUAGUCAUUAGUCAAGCAUUUAUCAAUUGAAUUUAUAAUGAUGGAGCAACUGCGAAAUCUGGCAAGGCAAUGCCAAAUUUAUUUAUUGCUGAUAACACUGUUGUUAGAGAUAGACAAAUAUUAUUCAUAGCUUGCAUGUUGAUGACUUGCAUUUUUGACUUUUUGGUUGUGGAGUUGUGUGAAAACCAUUUCAAUAUAUUUCAUUCACACUCAAUUGCGCAUGUUUAUCAACGUGUGUUGUGCAUAUUAUUAUUAAUACUAUUUUUAGAAUGUUGUAUUGUUUAUAUUAAUAUUUGGUAACGUGCGUUAUUCAGAAUGGCGGGUAGACAAUAC